AACGAACGCUGGCGGCAUGCCUAACACAUGCAAGUCGAACGAAGUCUUCGGACUUAGUGGCGCACGGGUGAGUAACGCGUGGGAACCUGCCCUUCGGUACGGAAUAACGUCGGGAAACUGACGCUAAUACCGUAUAUGUCUCCGGAUGAAAGAUUUAUCGGCCGGGGGGAGGGCCCGCGUCCGAUUAGCUAGUUGGUGAG
This 200-nucleotide ribosomal RNA is filed under the name uncultured bacterium. RNAcentral's name for it is "partial 16S ribosomal RNA". It matches the Rfam family "Bacterial small subunit ribosomal RNA", at positions 29 to 256 of the family's 1533-position model. The record is from RNAcentral.